RNAcentral lists this unclassified non-coding RNA (149 nucleotides) under uncultured fungus. Its description in RNAcentral is "sequence contains ITS2". Lineage: Eukaryota; Fungi. The record is from RNAcentral.
ACACCCUCAAGCUCUGCUUGGUGUUGGGCGUCUGUCCCGCUUCGUGCGUGGACUCGCCCCAAAGUCAUUGGCGGCGGUCGUGCCAGCUUCUCGCGCAGCAUACGCGCUACGGAGGCAAGUCGAUCAGCAUCCACAAAGCACUUUUUACA